UACAGAGGUCCCAAGCGUUGUUCGGAUUUACUGGGCGUAAAGGGUGCGUAGGCGGUCGGGUAAGUUCGAUGUGAAAUCUCCAGGCUCAACCUGGAAACUGCAUUGAAUACUAUCCGGCUGGAGGGUUGGAGGGGAGACUGGAAUUCUCGGUGUAGCAGUGAAAUGCGUAGAUAUCGAGAGGAACACCAGUGGCGAAGGCUAGUCUCUGGACAACUCCUGACGCUGAGGCACGAAAGCCAGGGGAGCAAACAGG
RNAcentral lists this ribosomal RNA (253 nucleotides) under uncultured bacterium. RNAcentral's name for it is "partial 16S ribosomal RNA". It matches the Rfam family "Bacterial small subunit ribosomal RNA", at positions 524 to 776 of the family's 1533-position model. The record is from RNAcentral.